CCCGCGGUGGCGCGGCUGCGCCGGGGGAGCCCGGGGCACCGCCGUGGGAGGCGCGGUGCCGCCCGAAGGAGCGGGGGCGGGUGCCUCCGCAGCCGAGUACGGCCAGCGCGGCCUGCGGCGCUCGCCAUGGGCCGGCCGGGGGCUGGGGGCGCAGCGCCCGCAGCCGCAGGCGGUAGCGCAGAAGUGCGGGAGCGAAGGUACAGGAGGCGCUUCUGUGGGCUUAGGCCACGGGGGCACUGCUGCUCAGAGCCGCUGUCAGGAAGGCCUUCUGGUCUUAAUCUUACCAUGCAAAUGAAGAGAAACACCUGUACCUGCAGAGAGUGAGCAUGACUUUAACCUAUUUACAGCAAGUACUCCAGCCACACCGCCCACACAGAAGGCAAAGGCAGGGACUGGGAGAAUGAAGAACUGCCCACUGUCGGAGAUCAGGUUUGAGACCAUCUAAGGAACCUGAAGGUGCAUAAGUCCAUGGGACCUGAUAGGAUGCAUCUGUGGGUGCAGAGGGAACUGAUGGAUGAAGUGGCUGAGUCACUAGCUAUUGUAUUUGACAAGCUGUGACAGUCCAGCGAAGAUCCCACGGACUGGAAAAGGGGAAACAUAACCCCCAUUUUUAAAAGGGGAAAAAAAGAAGACUUGGAGAACUACAGGUUGGUCAGUCUCACCUCUGUGUCCAGCAAGAUGAUGGAGCAGAUCCUCCUGGAAACUAUGCUAAGGCACAGGAAAAAUAAGGAGGUGAUUUGUGACAGCCAACAUGACUUCAAGAAGCGCAAAUCAUACCUGACAAAUUUGGUGGCCUUCUAUGAUGGGGUUGCAGCGUUGCUGGAUAAAUGAAGAGCAAAUGAUAUCAUCUACCUGGACUUGUGCAAAGCAUCUGACACUUUCCCAUACCACAUCCUUGUCUUUAAACUGGAGAGACACAGAUUUGAUGGGUGGACCACUCAGUCCUUAUCAGUGGAUAAGGAAUUGGCUGGGUGGUCACACUGAAAGAGUUGUCAUCAGCUUGAUGCCCAAGUGGAUACCAGUGACAAGUGGCAUUCUUCAGGGGCUGGUAUUAGGACCAGCACUGUUUAACAUUGUUGUCAGUGACAUGGACAGUGCAGUCGAGUGCACCCUUGGCAAGUUUGCAGGCGACACCAAUAUGUGUGGUACAGUUCACAUGCUGGAGGGAAGGGAUGCCAUGCGGAAGGACCUUGGCAGGUCUGAGAGGUGGGCCUGUGCAAACUGUAUGAAGUUCAACAAGGCCAAGUGCAAGGUCCUGCAUGUGGGUUGGGACAAUCCCAAGCACAAAUACAGGCUGGCCAGAUUAUAGAUUGAGAGCAGCCCUGAGGAGAAGGACUUGGGGGUGUUGGCAGAUGAGAAGCUUGACAUGACCUCGCAAGUGUGCAUUUGCAGCCCAGCAAGCCAACCGUAUCCUGGGCUGCAUCAAAAGAAGUGUGACCAGCAGUUUGAGGAAGAAUGUCAGCCUACAGAGGCCAAGGUAUACCUUGCAAAUACAGAUUUAAGUAUUAGACAAGAAUACGAGGACUACAUGAUUAAGCAAGUACUAGUUAAGAGAGAAUCAGCAUCGAGUGAUGUCCAGGACACAUCCUAAGAAUAGCAGGAGGUAUGCUGUGAAAAGUAGAAGCCAACAACUUGGGCUGCCCUCCAGCCCCCAAGGACACUUCUCAUUCCGUGGGUACAUGCGUGACUUCAGUGGAACUAAUGGCAUUACAGCAGGAAAAUAUGGACUGGUGUGAGAAUGAUUCGAGAAUCAUGAUUACCAUGUGCCUUUUAGCAAG
Long non-coding RNA from Falco peregrinus (peregrine falcon), 1778 nucleotides. RefSeq lists it as uncharacterized. The record is from RefSeq and is a predicted model, not a curated record. The transcript has 5 exons. NCBI's taxonomy places the organism in Eukaryota, Metazoa, Chordata, Aves, Falconiformes, Falconidae.